CCCUUAGAUGUUCUGGGCCGCACGCGCGCUACACUGAUGCAUUCAACGAGUGUACCUUGGCCGAGAGGCCUGGGCAAUCUUUUGAACGUGCAUCGUGAUAGGGAUAGAUUAUUGCAAUUAUUAAUCUUGAACGAGGAAUUCCUAGUAAACGCAGUUCAUCAAACUGCAUUGAUUACGUCCCUGCCCUUUGUACACACCGCCCGCCGCACCUACCGAUUGGAUGGUCCGGUGAAGCCUCGGGAUUGUGGCGGUUGCCUUUAUUGGUGGCCGCCGCGAGAACUUGUCUAAACCUUAUCAUCUAGAGGAAGGUGAAGUCGUAACA
Molecule: ribosomal RNA, 322 nt
Filed under: uncultured eukaryote
Lineage: Eukaryota
Description: partial 18S ribosomal RNA
Rfam family: Eukaryotic small subunit ribosomal RNA
Source: RNAcentral